UGGGGAAUAUUGGACAAUGGGCGCAAGCCUGAUCCAGCCAUGCCGCGUGGGUGAAGAAGGCCUUCGGGUUGUAAAGCCCUUUUGUCCGGAAAGAAAAGCAUUCGGUUAAUACCCGGGUGUGAUGACGGUACCGGAAGAAUAAGCACCGGCUAACUUCGUGCCAGCAGCCGCGGUAAUACGAAGGGUGCAAGCGUUACUCGGAAUUACUGGGCGUAAAGCGUGCGUAGGUGGUUCGUUAAGUCUGUCGUGAAAUCCCCGGGCUCAACCUGGGAAUGGCGAUGGAUACUGGCGGGCUAGAGUGCGGUAGAGGAGAGUGGAAUUCCCGGUGUAGCAGUGAAAUGCGUAGAGAUCGGGAGGAACAUCAGUUGCGAAGGCGGCUCUCUGGACCAGCACUGACACUGAGGCACGAAAGCGUGGGGAGCAAACAGG
This 429-nucleotide ribosomal RNA is filed under the name uncultured Arenimonas sp. RNAcentral's name for it is "bacterial SSU rRNA". It matches the Rfam family "Bacterial small subunit ribosomal RNA", at positions 355 to 776 of the family's 1533-position model. The record is from RNAcentral. Lineage: Bacteria; Pseudomonadati; Pseudomonadota; Gammaproteobacteria; Lysobacterales; Lysobacteraceae.